AUUGAACGCUGGCGGCAUGCCUUACACAUGCAAGUCGAACGGCAGCACGGGUGCUUGCACCUGGUGGCGAGUGGCGAACGGGUGAGUAAUACAUCGGAACAUGUCCUGUAGUGGGGGAUAGCCCGGCGAAAGCCGGAUUAAUACCGCAUACGAUCUACGGAUGACAGCGGGGGACCUUCGGGCCUCGCGCUAUAGGGUUGGCCGAUGGCUGAUUAGCUAGUUGGUGGGGUAAAGGCCUACCAAGGCGACGAUCAGUAGCUGGUCUGAGAGGACGACCAGCCACACUGGGACUGAGACACGGCCCAGACUCCUACGGGAGGCAGCAGUGGGGAAUUUUGGACAAUGGGCGAAAGCCUGAUCCAGCAAUGCCGCGUGUGUGAAGAAGGCCUUCGGGUUGUAAAGCACUUUUGUCCGGAAAGAAAUCCUUGGCUCUAAUACAGUCGGGGAUGACGGUACCGGAAGAAUAAGCACCGGCUAACUACGUG
Molecule: ribosomal RNA, 485 nt
Filed under: uncultured bacterium
Lineage: Bacteria
Description: partial 16S ribosomal RNA
Rfam family: Bacterial small subunit ribosomal RNA
Source: RNAcentral